This is a long non-coding RNA of Myotis brandtii (Brandt's bat), 392 nucleotides long. RefSeq lists it as uncharacterized. The record is from RefSeq and is a predicted model, not a curated record. Lineage: Eukaryota; Metazoa; Chordata; Mammalia; Chiroptera; Vespertilionidae. The transcript is spliced from 2 exons.
AUGCUAAGUAGCGAUAGGGAGGCCACAUUCACCAAACCCCAUCAGAGCCUGCGAAGGGCUCCUUAACUUCAUUGCCCAGAAAGAAAAAUGCUGAGGACGGAGAUAAGACUGCAGCGAAGCUCUGGCCCUGAACCGUCAGCCGAGAAGUUAAGCAGCCCCUUCUGUUUUAUAGCCCAGCCAGACCCGUGCGGGCUGCACGCAGCUGCUACCGCUAAGUGGGUCUCCGCAGGCCAGAAACCCUGGCUCCCCGUGCCUCAGCUUCCCCACCCCUCCCUCCCACAGAGUGCUCAACACCCGACAGGGAAAAAUGAUCAGCUCUGAUCUAGGAAGAGCAACGUUCGGAAUCCAAAUCCAUACUAACGUUUCAAGUAAAAUGACAAAAUCCUUCCAAA